Molecule: long non-coding RNA, 410 nt
Organism: Centrocercus urophasianus (Greater sage-grouse)
Lineage: Eukaryota; Metazoa; Chordata; Aves; Galliformes; Phasianidae
Exons: 2
Source: RefSeq, a predicted model, not a curated record
CCCGUCCGUCCCCCGUCGGCACCGAGCCGUCCUUUGCAGUCGCCGUUCGGCGGUCGUCUCUCUGUCGCUCUGUGCGUUCGUCAGUUAAAUGUUUACCGUUCGUUUCUCGGCGUUCUGCCCGCGGUCGUUUCUGCAGCUCAGACCAGCUGCUCGAUAGUGUCCUGCUGACACGAAUCCUGAACUUGUCUGCCCUCAGAAAGUCUUCCUGGAUGUUCCUCGAAGGUUGCUAAUAUUCUUGGCGCUCUUGGCCUAGGUGAAUUUAAUUGGAAAACUUCCACUAGCUUAGCAGGACUGUCUUCUUAUUUUCCAUAUGAAAGAACUGGAUUAGUAUUUUUCUUGCUCUUUUUUUUUGGAUUUUUCUAACAAUCUCAAAAGCCUGUAAAGCAUGGCUUCCUGAUAGCUUUCACACA